RNAcentral lists this ribosomal RNA (385 nucleotides) under uncultured bacterium. RNAcentral's name for it is "bacterial SSU rRNA". It matches the Rfam family "Bacterial small subunit ribosomal RNA", at positions 29 to 417 of the family's 1533-position model. The record is from RNAcentral.
AUUGAACGCUGGCGGCAUGCCUUACACAUGCAAGUCGAACGGUAACGCGGGGCAACCUGGCGACGAGUGGCGAACGGGUGAGUAAUGCAUCGGAACGUGCCCAGUAGUGGGGGAUAGCCCGGCGAAAGCCGGAUUAAUACCGCAUACGACCUACGGGUGAAAGCGGGGGACCGUAAGGCCUCGCGCUAUUGGAGCGGCCGAUGUCAGAUUAGGUAGUUGGUGGGGUAAAGGCCUACCAAGCCUACGAUCUGUAGCUGGUCUGAGAGGACGACCAGCCACACUGGGACUGAGACACGGCCCAGACUCCUACGGGAGGCAGCAGUGGGGAAUUUUGGACAAUGGGCGCAAGCCUGAUCCAGCCAUGCCGCGUGCGGGAAGAAGGCCU